UCGAGUCCCUCCAUGAGAGAGUGAGAACGUGUAACAUUAACCGUCGCGAACAAAGCCAGUUUUGCGAGCGCAAUUCUGCUUUCCAGAUGGAUGUCCUUUUGCCGCAUCCGGCUUUGCUUCCUUCGAAGCAAGAAGGAGCGCGGGAAUAAAGACCUCGGCGUGGUUUGCGCCAAGGACGGACGUUGUUGGAGUGCAUUGCCUACUUUACGUGGUGCGGUGUAUCCUCCUACCGGUGUGAGAAUACGCAUGACUCUUGGCAACGGAUAUCUAGGCUCUCGCGUCGAUGAAGAACGUAGCAAAAUGCGAUACUUGGUGUGAAUUGCAGAAUCCCGUGAACCAUCGAGUCUUUGAACGCAAGUUGCGCCUAAGACCGUCAGGUCAAGGGCACGUCUGCUUGGGCGUCGCGCCUUACGUCACUCCAAACCCCUGCCUCGCGUAGACCACUAUGCCGGUGAGGGCGCGUGCGGAUGUGGAUAGUGACCCUCCGUGCUUUCGCUGCGCGGCGGGUUUGAGUGAUGGUCGUUGCUAGGUUUUGCACGCGGCGAAUGGUGGAUUAGAGUAUGCGCCUGCAGUUGUGCACAAAGCUCCUAGCCACGACUUACAAUAAGUAAAACCCGUGACGACGUUUGCACAUUUUGCAAACUCGGACC
RNAcentral lists this unclassified non-coding RNA (650 nucleotides) under Allium canariense. RNAcentral describes it as "sequence contains ITS1, 5.8S rRNA gene, ITS2". The stretch from base 249 to 404 matches the Rfam family "5.8S ribosomal RNA". Lineage: Eukaryota; Viridiplantae; Streptophyta; Magnoliopsida; Asparagales; Amaryllidaceae. The record is from RNAcentral.